AACGCACAUUGCGCCCCCUGGUAUUCCGGGGGGCAUGCCUGUCCGAGCGUCAUUGCUGCCCUCAAGCACGGCUUGUGUGUUGGGUCUCCGUCCCUCCGGGGACGGGCCCGAAAGGCAGCGGCGGCACCGCGUCCGAUCCUCGAGCGUAUGGGGCUUCGUCACCCGCUCUGUAGGCCCGGCCGGCGCUUGCCGACACCAAUCAAUCUUUUUUCCAGGUUGACCUCGGAUCAGGUAGGGAUACCCGCUGAACUUAA
Molecule: unclassified non-coding RNA, 254 nt
Filed under: uncultured fungus
Lineage: Eukaryota; Fungi
Description: partial contains 5.8S ribosomal RNA, internal transcribed spacer 2, and large subunit ribosomal RNA
Rfam family: 5.8S ribosomal RNA (bases 1-52)
Source: RNAcentral